UCGGGGUGAGAUGAGAUGGAUUAGCGGCGGACGGGUGAGUAACACGUGAGUAACCUGCCUUAGACAUUGGGAUAGCCUCGGGAAACCGGGAUUAAUACCAAAUGAAAUCACAUAUGCACAUGCAUAAAUGAUCAAAGCUCCGGCGGUCUAAGAUGGACUCGCGUCCCAUUAGCUAGUUGGUGAGGUAACGGCCCACCAAGGCGACGAUGGGUAGCCGGCCUGAGAGGGUGAACGGCCACAUUGGAACUGAGAAACGGUCCAAACUCCUACGGGAGGCAGCAGUGGGGAAUAUUGCACAAUGGAGGGAACUCUGAUGCAGCGACGCCGCGUGAACGAAGAAGGCUUUCGAGUCGUAAAGUUCUUUUAUAUGGGAAGAUAAUGACGGUACCAUAAGAAAAAGCCCCGGCUAACUACGUGCCAGCAGCCGCGGUAAUACGUAGGGGGCUAGCGUUGUCCGGAAUCACUGGGCGUAAAGGGUUCGCAGGCGGAAAUGCAAGUCAGGUGUAAAAGGCAGUAGCUUAACUACUGUAAGCAUUUGAAACUGCAUAUCUUGAGAAGAGUAGAGGUAAGUGGAAUUUUUAGUGUAGCGGUGAAAUGCGUAGAUAUUAAAAAGAAUACCGGUGGCGAAGGCGACUUACUGGGCUCAUUCUGACGCUGAGGAACGAAAGCGUGGGUAGCAAACAGGAUUAGAUACCCUGGUAGUCCACGCUGUAAACGAUGAGUGCUAGGUAUCGGAAUAAUUCGGUGCCGCAGUUAACACAUUAAGCACUCCGCCUGGGGAGUACGUGCGCAAGCAUGAAACUCAAAGGAAUUGACGGGGACCCGCACAAGCAGCGGAGCAUGUGGUUUAAUUCGAAGCAACGCGAAGAACCUUACCAGGGCUUGACAUACUGAGGACCGGUAUAGAGAUAUACCCUCUUCUUCGGAAGCCUCAAUACAGGUGGUGCAUGGUUGUCGUCAGCUCGUGUCGUGAGAUGUUCAGUUAAGUCUGGCAACGAGCGCAACCCCUAUCUUUAGUUACCAGCAUUUCGGAUGGGGACUCUAAAGAGACUGCCGAUGAUAAAUCGGAGGAAGGUGGGGAUGACGUCAAAUCAUCAUGCCCUAUAUGCCCUGGGCUACACACGUGCUA
RNAcentral lists this ribosomal RNA (1129 nucleotides) under Peptoniphilus sp. Its description in RNAcentral is "bacterial SSU rRNA". It matches the Rfam family "Bacterial small subunit ribosomal RNA", at positions 80 to 1227 of the family's 1533-position model. The record is from RNAcentral. Lineage: Bacteria; Bacillati; Bacillota; Tissierellia; Tissierellales; Peptoniphilaceae.